Molecule: transfer RNA, 74 nt
Rfam family: tRNA
About the family: Transfer RNA (tRNA) molecules are approximately 80 nucleotides in length. Their secondary structure includes four short double-helical elements and three loops (D, anti-codon, and T loops).
GCCCCAGUAGCUCAGUGGAUAGAGCGUCAUUUUGCCGAAAUCGAAGGUCGGGGGUUCAAUUCCCUUCUGGGGUU